GUGCCCGUAACUCAGCUGGAUAGAGUACCUGGCUACGAACCAGGGUGUCGCGUGUUCGAAUCACGCCGGGCACGCCA
RNAcentral lists this transfer RNA (77 nucleotides) under Omnitrophica bacterium RIFCSPLOWO2_01_FULL_45_10. RNAcentral's name for it is "tRNA-Arg". It matches the Rfam family "tRNA". Rfam says of the family: Transfer RNA (tRNA) molecules are approximately 80 nucleotides in length. Their secondary structure includes four short double-helical elements and three loops (D, anti-codon, and T loops). Further hydrogen bonds mediate the characteristic L-shaped molecular structure. tRNAs have two regions of fundamental functional importance: the anti-codon, which is responsible for specific mRNA codon recognition, and the 3' end, to which the tRNAs corresponding amino acid is attached (by aminoacyl-tRNA synthetases). tRNAs cope with the degeneracy of the genetic code in two manners: having more than one tRNA (with a specific anti-codon) for a particular amino acid; and 'wobble' base-pairing, i.e. permitting non-standard base-pairing at the 3rd anti-codon position. The record is from RNAcentral. Lineage: Bacteria; Pseudomonadati; Candidatus Omnitrophota.